Punica granatum (pomegranate) is the source of this 2056-nucleotide non-coding RNA. The record is from RefSeq and is a predicted model, not a curated record. Lineage: Eukaryota; Viridiplantae; Streptophyta; Magnoliopsida; Myrtales; Lythraceae.
CCUUUCGUUUCAAUGGGAUUGACGUUGUACUUGGAUUCCACGUUCUUCUAAUCCUCAUGUUCUGUCUUUAGUCUUCAAGAAAGUAGAAAGGAUGGCAAGACGACGAGUUCGGUUGCAUAAUUCGGCUUUUGAAAUGGUACAAGGUUUCAGGUCAUUAGAUGGAAGAACUUAAACGUGGAGAUACAGCAAAGCUUAGCAAAACGAACAUUACAGGAAACUAAUAAUGAAUGCAACAUAAAAUCGGCCGGUUCCAUCCAUGAAAAGACAAGACUAGGCAAGCUCUCCCAACGGACUCGCCAGAUAUAUCUUCUUCUGGCUGAGUUGCUGGGCUCGACAGUCUCACUCUUAAGCAGGUGAGUUCGCAUCGUAUCUACUGGGAUUGAACCACGAAAGACGUACGAGCUAGCAGGAGUGGGCACAGAAGGGAACUAACCUGAGGCGAUUAAUAAGGAGCCAGGAUUUGGUUGGAUGACUGGUUUCCUCUAUAUUGUCUGCUUUGUCGGUCUCUACGUAUUAAUUCCUCUCAAAACGAUAAUGAUAGUCGACCUCAAACUGACUUACCCGAGCGGCUUGGCCUCUGCAGUGCUCAUCAAUGGUUUCCACUCGCAGGUAGACAAGAUGGGACGGUACUAAACAUCAUCAUUCACAAUCGCAACGAACUCGAUUAGCCACACUUUCCUGGCGGGUACUUAACGGUACACUCCAGUGUUUCCUCAGGAAGCAGGUCCGAGAAUUCAUGAAGCUAUUCUCGUUCAGUUCCCUGUAGGGAUUCUUCCAGUGGUUCUAUACCGGAAAUGAAGGUUCCGGGUUCGCCCACUUCCUUACUUUCGGUUUGCAAGCUUGGAAGCAAACGUACCUUCUCCCAUCUUUCCUUUUCUGAUUCUGCAUUAGAAGUUCAUGUUCUGCCCCCUCGGACUGUAGUAUCCACAUCGGUAUCAUCAGCAUAUCCGACUGAUCUAUUAUUUUCUAUUCGGGUCGAAUGGAAAACAAAAACAAUACAUGUCUCUGCAGUUUUUAUCGCAUACUAUGGUAGUUAUUGUGUGAGUCCACCGGUUGCACCCAUGGAUUUAGCCAAUAUUAGGUGCAAUGAAACCCUUAUGUCUCUAGCGUGAUGCCAUCGAUUGGUUAUCGACUAAUGCAGAACAACGUAUCAAUUAUGACGAACAUUGCGCCCUUCAACCUGUUCUUGACAAUUUUUGCGACUAGAAAUUCGCAGAUUCUACUUUGACUUCAGCAAGACAUUUGUGGGAGUAUGCAGUAAUGAUCUGUUCCCACCUGGUGAACUUAUCACUGCUCCUCGGUUCUGUGCUCCCCUAUGGACUAAUGUGGCCCCUCGAUCAUCAACCGUUUGGAUGAAGGGAGACUAGUUCCUUGACGACUUGGAAGAAAGCAGCAUGAGGAGCCUGUAUGGCUACAAGGUCUUAUUGACCGAUCCGAAUCAUCAAAUAAGUAUACUAAUUACCGUCCGUGAUGUCGUCGGCAAAACCCACAGUUGAAGCCCUAAUUUCCAUUCUUGGUGUUCAUUGCAGGCAUUUAUAUUGGUGGCUCUCAUCUUUGGGGAUGGGCUCUACAAUUUCGAGAAGAUAUUAUCGGUCACUGCGAUGAACAUUCCCAGGACCACAGCAGAGUCAAAAACCGGAAUUUCGGCACAGCAAGCAAGCAUGUCGAUGAUAAGAGACAGAAUGAGAUGUUCUCGAGAUUAACCCUAGAAGGCAAGAGCUGAUGGCCCCUGCGGUUGCAUCUGGGUUGAUCUACAGAGAGGGGCUGUGGAUCCUCCCUGCUUCAGUCUCCAAUUUGUAUGAAAUUUUUGCCUUCCUAGGUCUGCAUACGUUUCCAUUAGAAAGGAAAAGGAACAACACUAUACUCGAUAAAGAAAGAAAAAAAUCAUCGAUAAAACAACAAACGCACUUAUCGAAUAGCAGGCUGUUGUGCGAGAUCAAAAUUUGAAUUAACUCAAGAUACCAAAAUGCUUAUAAAACUGUCCAACUCCUUAAUACAGACAUCAACUGUGAUACACCGGCCAACAAUAGCCGGGAACAAACAGAAAAAGAAAAAA